Molecule: ribosomal RNA, 468 nt
Filed under: uncultured bacterium
Lineage: Bacteria
Description: partial 16S ribosomal RNA
Rfam family: Bacterial small subunit ribosomal RNA
Source: RNAcentral
GACGAACGCUGGCGGCGUGCUUAACACAUGCAAGUCGAACGGAAAGGCCCUGCUUUUGUGGGGUGCUCGAGUGGCGAACGGGUGAGUAACACGUGAGUAACCUGCCCUUGACUUUGGGAUAACUUCAGGAAACUGGGGCUAAUACCGGAUAGGAGCUCCUGCUGCAUGGUGGGGGUUGGAAAGUUUCGGCGGUUGGGGAUGGACUCGCGGCUUAUCAGCUUGUUGGUGGGGUAGUGGCUUACCAAGGCUUUGACGGGUAGCCGGCCUGAGAGGGUGACCGGCCACAUUGGGACGGAGAUACGGCCCGGACUCCUACGGGAGGAAGAGGUGGGGAAUAUUGCACAAUGGGCGGAAGCCUGAUGCAGCAACGCCGCGUGCGGGAUGACGGCCUUCGGGUUGUAAACCGCUUUCGCCUGUGACGAAGCGUGAGUGACGGUAAUGGGUAAAGAAGCACCGGCUAACUACGUG